UACGUAGGGUGCGAGCGUUAAUCGGAAUUACUGGGCGUAAAGUGUGCGCAGGUGGCUUCGCAAGUCGGGUGUGAAAUCCCCGGGCUUAACCUGGGAAUUGCGCUCGAAACUACGGAGCUGGAGUAUGGCAGAGGGAGGUGGAAUUCCACGUGUAGCGGUGAAAUGCGUAGAGAUGUGGAGGAACACCAAUGGCGAAGGCAGCUUCCUGGGCCAAUACUGACACUCAUGCACGAAAGCGUGGGGAGCAAACAGG
This 253-nucleotide ribosomal RNA is filed under the name uncultured bacterium. RNAcentral's name for it is "partial 16S ribosomal RNA". It matches the Rfam family "Bacterial small subunit ribosomal RNA", at positions 524 to 776 of the family's 1533-position model. The record is from RNAcentral.